Molecule: long non-coding RNA, 18088 nt
Filed under: Solanum tuberosum (potato)
Lineage: Eukaryota; Viridiplantae; Streptophyta; Magnoliopsida; Solanales; Solanaceae
Description: long non-coding RNA (STUB_LNC007790)
Source: RNAcentral
GUGCGUUCCCGUUCCAUUAUUUGGAAACAUACAGCCUUUUCUCAAAAUUGAAUUAGUGCUAGAGUUGUGGAAAAAUUGGUCCAAAUGAUUUUUCUCUUUAUAAUUGUUAUUGGCUCAUCCAGGGAUAUCUUUGCAAGGAAUGAUCUCUCUUCUAAAAGGCCAUAUGUAGAGCCUUCACUGCUUCUUGGAUAUCAAGACUGUAGUGCAUCUCUGAUACCUAAUGGGACCAUGUUUUAUCCCUCUUUAUUCUACCAACAUCAAAUUGAUGCUAGUAGACUUCACCUAGCUCCUCAGAGAAUAAAUGGUGUAUUUUCUGCUGAGGAGUCAGCCAUUGCAUCAGGGGAAUCAAAGUCGAGACAGUCGAGGCAUUCACAGAGGAAUAGAAGCCUUGCUAAUCUUCAUGUAGAUACUUACAUUGGUCCUCAAAUUAACAUUUGGGGCUUGCCGGCAGAAAGGAGCCCACUUGCUCGUAAUUUGACUGAAGAUGACAUUCUUGAAAUGGUUUGUGUUUCCUGUCUUACCAUUAUUUAUUUAGAAGUUCUCAUCUUACCCUUAAUUUUUAAUUAUUGAUGCACAUAGGUCAAAAGGAUUGUUCUUGUAUUUGUCAAGAAGAUGAAAUACUCUUUUGUACUCUCUCAAAGUUUGCUGAUGAUUUCAAUUUUCAGCCAAGAAAGCUUAUUUUCUCUUGUUUCUGACUAUUUGAUAUCUAUCAUCCUUCUUUUCUUUGAAUGCAUAUGAAUCUGUACUUUGAGUGCAUUUUAUACAAAAAUGGUUAUCUACUGUUGAAGGCAUAUGCCAGAAAUUGCCCAAUUCAGUAAUUUUUAACUUACAAGGCCUCCACCAGAUUUCUUGAUACUGGACCGUAUGUCAUCUGAUUCUUUCUGUAGUUAGACUUUCAAAUCUUCUGUUUGUAUGAUAAGACUCACAGGUGUGGACUUACAAUUCCUUAAACAAAUGCACAUCUGUUGAACCUUGAUACCAUUAACUGUAUUAGUUUAAAUCAAAUUUCAUAGCAAAAUGGUUUAUAAGAUUUUAGUUUAAUUCCCAACUUUACAUGAAUCCUGGUUGUCUUAGAAGUCAAUGUAAGUCCUUUUUCAUUGUGUAAUAAUUCCUGCAGUUACAGAGAACAGACUGGGAACUUGUAUAUGUAUAUAUAUACACCCAUAUAGUUUUCAAUUGUAGAGGGAAAGUUAUCAGGUUAUUCACAUCCAAGGGUGUAUGACCUAGUGGUCAAUGAAGUGGGCGAGAACUAUGAUGUCUCAAGUUCAAAACCCAACAGAGGCAAAAACUAGGUGAUUUCUACCUCAACAGAGUUACCGGGUACCUAUGCCGCCGGUGGAGUCCGCAGGUACCUAGUGGGAUUAGUCAAGGUGCACACAAGCUGGCCGGACACCACCAGUUAUAAGAAGUUAUUAGGUUAUUCCUAUUUUAUUGGUGAAGUUUUUCUUUUUCUUUGGUGCUUUAUGCACCUUGACAUAGGGGCUAGUCCAAGGAAAUGCUAGGUGGGAUUCGUAGACAUUCUUCUUCUUUACAUUUGCCCCCUACCCCCCAUUAAGUAACACACACACACCAGCAACUUCUCUCUUUCCCCCUCUCUUGCAUGGCUGCUAUUUAAGGCCUUCUGACUCAUAUUGUCUCUUAGACUGCUGUAAUAUUGAUAUUUUCAAGACACUGUAGUUCUUAUGUUUUUAAUACAUCAUAAUUUAUUCACCUGGCUCCUAGCUAUGAACUUAGCAGGUUGCAUAUUCUCUGUCCUUGCCGAAUUUAAUUUGAAGAAUGUUUUUAAACAAGUGUAAUACUUCAUGAGCCACAUGUUGUAGCUGUUAGAUCCACCAUCAAAUCAUGUUGCCAUAAUUAAGAUAUUACUGUAAACUUGUUGUUCAUACUCCUUUCUCUUGUUGCAGACAUAUGAAGAGUAUCUUGAAGCUUAUAGCAGAGGCAGCAAAAGAUCGCCCCACCCUGUUAGUUCUCUUUGACAUUUUUCUUGUUAUAUAUUCCUCUAUUAUUGAAUAAACUCAUGAACCAUGCUCUGUUGGGUUGGAUUUUUAACUGUAAAAAGUUCACCUUUAUCCUUUUAUUUAAUAUCUGUUCUGGAAAAUCUAUUCUAAUUUCCUUUCUUUUCGAAUAAAAGCUUGUAGCAUUUAGCAUUUCCUUAUAGUGCUAUAAGCAAGAGAUGGCUAGCUCAAUUGAGGAUCUUGUGUCUUAAGUCACAAGUUUGAACCUUGCACCAAGUGAACUAAGUCUAGUAUUAAGGAUAGAGGGGCGGGUCCAUCAUCUCCGGGUUUUGAAACUCACGGAUGCCCAAACCAUUGGCUCCAGAUGAACUUCUUGUUCAUAAAAAACUUGGGGCGACUCCCAUGCCUCUUUUUUCUCCAUGCUAUCUAGUGGUUGAUGAUCUGGAUGUGGUUGGUUCUCUGGGUGAAGUAUUGUGAUAAAUUCAUGUGCUAUAGUUAGGGUCCUCGAAAUUUCAGUCUCUGUUCUGCUCUUUAGCAUGAGAUUUGAGUCUUGCGUAUCUACCAUUUCACCACCUAGGCAUCUUGUAAGUGAAUCAUAUUCCAUGAAUAUGUUAUCUAUCUAGUUUUGUAGAUGGCAUUUCCUUUUGUUUUCUCUAGCACGAUGAAGUGGUUCAUUAAUGUAUUUAAACUCAGUUUUUGAAAGUGCCCUUGUUCGACAUUUGUAUCUGCGGAGCGUUUCUUAGUGUGGAUAUCCAUGACUUGCACUCAGAUUUUUAAUGAAGAAUCUUUCGCUAGAAAGGAUUCUGAACAAAACAGCAGGUUUCCAUUGUGCAAUAAGUUACCUCUCUUUAUCUAGGUUUCAGGACCAUCACGGAGUACACAGAGGUCAUUAGCCAGUGAAGAAAACUGUGAUGAUUCGUAAGUUUUUUUACUUCUCAUUUCCAACACACUUGGGAUGCAACGAACCAGCUGAGUGACCUAUAUCUAUUAUCUUUGCAGGCAAUCAGGUUUCAGUUCAAAGAAAAGGAGGAGUCACUAAAUCUCCCUAUUGGUGGCAUUGGUUUUCUUGGCGAGCAGGCUGAUAUGGUUGAUAAUUGUAUUGUUGCAUUUGUCGCGAAGUGGUGGCUCUUGCGAAAUUGUUCCUUUAUUUUUGUAAAACUUAAAACUUAGGAGAAUAUAUUGCUAUAAUGUUGGUAUAUCUGUACUGUAUUUUAUGACCCUCUUGUCACCCUUCUCCCCUUCCUGUUUUCGAAUGGAAAAUUUUAUACUGUCAAUGGAAACUUGUACAGGAAAUUAGCAAGUCUCUCUAUACUCAUAUACUCAUUCUUGAUAAAGUCAGUACUGUAUAGAAAUGGAUAAUAUCUUUUUGAUUAUUGGGAUGGAGAGGAAUUAUUCUUCUUUUCCCUUUGAGGCAACUUGUUAUUCUUGAAGAUCAUUUUAAUGGUCUAUCAAGUAUGUAUAUUCGGGUUUGUGUCCUAGGUAUAGAAAAAUUCUUGGUAGGGAGGACUUCCCUUGCGAAAUGGGGCCCUACGCGAUGUGUUUCCGGAAUAGUCGGGAUUAAAAGCACAUAUUGAACACCGGAUGGAAAAAAAAAAGAUAUGUAUAUUCGGAGGAAGAAUAGUCUUUGAGAGGUUGUGGCACUGAUGAAUUGCUCAUGGGGUUGUGGUCCGCCUUAAAGACAGCAUGAUGGACAUCAAAAUAGUUUGUAAUAUAUAAAUACACGUUUGUUUGUGAUGCAGCAUGAUUAUUUUGAAAAGUCGUAUAAUUAUAAAAACUCUUGAAGUAGUAUAAAAAAAAUAUUUAAUUAUAAACGUGAGUUUUGUUGUAUUUUGAAGGAUAUUUAUUGUAAUUUUUCUAAUGUAUAUAUGAAAAAUAUCUCUUUAAGAUUAUCUUGAAAGUUAUGUGAUGACAUGAAAUACCUUAUUGGGAUAAAUCAUACCUAUAUAUUUAUGAAAGUUGAUUCUUUUAUGCAUCAAAAUAAUUUCUUCUUUAAUUACAUAUUUUUUAUUCUUUAACGCAUAGUGGCUCAAAAAGUCAGUGUGGCUUGGCGAUUUAUGAAGUUGGAAUAACAAGCAUGCAAAAUUAUUAUAUAAUUAACUCUUAAUAGAAGUAAAAAAAAAAAAAAAAAUGUUUUUUAGUUUGUUUUGAUCUUUGUUAAAGCGGAUUAAAAAACUACUUGUACUGAUGAGCAGAUUAGGUAUCUAGUAAGAAUGAAGUUUAUUUGAGUUUAGAUUGGCCAAAGACAAAACUUAUCUUGAGUUGAAUCUAUGAGCCCCUCAACCCACCCCACUCACCCCCCCCCCACUAGAAAAAUGAAACUCAUCGAGAGUGAAGCUUGUCAAGUAUGAACAAUGAUUUUAUUCAAAUAUCUUGAGGCACUAAGAACGUAGCUCAUCUUGAGUUGAUCCACAAAGUUUCAAUAAUUCAACGUGGAUAAUUAUUUUAAUAAAGUAUCUUGAACCACUAAAUACGAAAUUAAUUAAGAGUAAAGCUACAUCCUUACCAUCACAAAUAAUGCUUUGAGUCGAAUAUGUAAAACUCAAACAAUAAAACUCAUCGAAAGCAGAUAUCGAUAGUAAUUCAAAAUGAAUAGUAAUUUGAGUUGCUUACUAAGAAUGGGGCUUAGUAGUUCAAGGUGAAUUACGAUUUGAAUCGAGUCUCCCUAACCCCCAAAGAUGGAACUAACUAAGAGGUGAACUUAAUUGCGGAUAGUUCAAAAAUAAUAAAAAAAAUGACGUGAAUAAUGGUUUUAAUAGGUUAUUCUAAUUAGUCGAAUAAGUAAAUAUAAAAAUAAAAUAAAAUUAUAAACUUAAUUUUACUAAACAGACCAACAAAAAUCCUAUUUUUUAAAAUCACAACAUAAUUUAUUGAUGCAAUAGACCCUAAUGGUCCGACCCUUUCCGAGCUCGAAUUAACCAAGACACCAUUUGGCCUUUUAUUAGUCCUUUGUCCAACACAUUUAGUAGAAAGAAGUAGUUUCAAAAUCAAAUUUCCCCCCUUUUCCAAUUUGUAUAGGGUUUACUGUUUCUACAAAUUCCAUACCAAAAUCCAUAUAUACAUCGAAAAUUAACAAUGGAGAACGGUGAUGGAACAAAUGGGAAAAGGAUAAGGGCUGAAGAUGUGAUAUGUGAGCUCAAGGACGAUGGCGAUUUCGAUAAAUUUCGCCUCAAAAUUGUCAGUAUUUGCUCAUUCUUUGGUUUUGUUGUUUAGGGUACUGUUAAGAGUAUUUUUUAUCUUCGGUUUCUGUAUUGUUUUAUCUGUUUUUACAUCAAUUUACGCUAAAUCCUGAGUUGGGUUUUGUUCUUUUUACUCUAUCAAAAUUGUAUGUGAUUGGUAUUGGAAAUUCAGCAUAAUUAUUGGAUUUAAGUUAUAUACACUGGGAGUGAUGUUAGAGUAGAAGGUUAAUAGGCAGUAGAGUGUUGUUUUUGUAGUGUGUUAUUAUUAUUAUAAUUACUCCGAUGUAUGUGUAUCUUAUUCCUGGAUUUUAUUAUUACUUGUUGUUCUCUUGGUUUCAGUUAUUGUAGUGCUAGUUGUUGAUAAAGCUCUUCUAUUUUUUUUUUUUGAAAUGGCUUAUUUGCUGUUGCUUUGGUAUGUUUGAUAUGCUUUACUUGAGCUGAGGGUCUUUCGGAAACAACCUCUUUACCUUCACUUGGUACUUGGUAGGGCUAAGGUCUGCAUACAUAUUACCCUCCUAGACUCCAUUUGUGAGAUUACAAUGGGUAUGUUGUUGUUGUUGUACUCUGGGUGUGCGGCGAGGUGUGUAGUUUUUGUGGGCUGGGGGCCUUCAAUAGAGAAAAAAAGAUGAGGCAAGGGGUGUAGUUUUUCUAGGACGGGUGCUUUCUAUCGAGGAAAAAGGGUGUGUAUAGGUAGGCUCGAGCUAUAUAUUACUUUCCACCAGAAUGGGAAGACUGUGAUACGUGGCAUGUAGUUUCUCUGGUGUGGGUGCAGUAUACAGAAAAAAAAAAAAAAGGGGUGCAAAGAUAGGCUUAAGCUAAGAUUCCACUUGCGAGCAUAGUGGGCAGACUGUGGUAUAAGGCAUGUAGUUUUGCCUCCUAUAGAGAAAAAAAGAGGUGUGGGUAGACUGUGAUAUGACUUAUGAGGCAUGCAUUUCUGGGGCAGGUGCCUCCUGUUUAGGUGAAAAGAGGUGCAGGGGUAGGCUUGAGCUAAGAUUCGACUUGUGAACAUAGUGGGCAGACUGUGAUACUGACUAAUGGAACAGAGAUCAGGGUGAUCCAGUAGUUGAUGGAUACAAAUGUACAUUAAAUAAUUGUAGCAUUAUCAAUUCAACCUAAUUCUUAUUAACUGGCUGCACCAGGUCGCUAACCCUUCUUGCAGAGUACAAAUCUACGCUUAUACUAGAUUGCUAUUUGUCGUUUGUUUUUAAAUAGCUUGAUAAUCAUAUUGUCAGUGUAAAAAAUUAAACCUUUAAGACCAUAAUUGUGUAGCACACGUCCUACAUAUGUAGUUUUGCUUGUUUCAGCUAACAUUUGGAGACUUAACAUUAUUAAAAACAAAAAUCUGCUUCUCCUUAAUUUGAAAUCAUAGAAGUACAAACAAGGGGAACUAAGGACUUUACAGGAUGCAAAAAGGACUUACUGGCAGGAUUCUAGUGGCAUGUUAAACUUGAACAGGCCUUUACUUGAAAGCUUUAGUUCUGUUGCAUCUACUAUAAAAUUAUGUUAAACAGAACUAAUCGUACAAAAGGUCAAUCAACAAGCAUUCCAUAACUGAGGUUCUGACGUCUUCUCUUUUGCCAAAAGAAUACCUUGAUUAUUAAUCUAUUGGGUUGCUAGUUAAGCUAGACCAAUAGAAGCUUACUGCUCAGCUUGUAUUAGGGCUGGGUUUAAUUCAGUAUGAGUUGGUGCAAAGUAAUUUCAGAUUGAUUUUGACUAAAGGUACACUUCGUGCAAGUUCAGGGUGAAUUUGCUUAGAGUAAGAAUCUUUUAGUUGUUCUUUUCCAUCCCUACAAGAAGUUCUGGUAACAGCUGGUUAUAGUUGUAGUUCUGUCUCGGCUCUGUCUACCUCUGUGCAGUCUGGACUUUUUUUGAUAUUCAGGUACGAGUAAUUCAACUUUGCUCGGCAUAUUCACUUUUUUGUUACAUAUAAUUAUCUUUUAAGUGAAUUGAUAAAAUAAAUUCUCUUUGAUUAUGUAAAUUUGCUCGGCAUAUUCUGUUGAUUAUCAGUUUGUUCAGCUCUUUGUUGUGUCAUUUCCACUAGCAACUAGUUUUAGGUUCUAAUUUAGGUAUCAUGCCAAGUAUAUAUGAAACAAUUAAAUAUUAGUUUUACCAUCAAUAAAAAAUAAAUAAAUUAAUUGAUCAUCAUUCUUCAUAAAUUUUAUAAGUUUAACUUUUUUGCUAAGCUUUCUUAGCAACCAAUUGCACAUAGUUUCUUUUUUUGUUAUAAAAAAUACUUGCAUGCAUAAGAAAGAGUUGUUUGUUCUUAUUGGUAUGAUCAAUCUUAUCUCCACGUGUAAGUUUCUUUGUUGUUAGAGGCUAAAUAGUUCAUAUCUAAUACUAUAUUAUCUUACACAUGUUCCUUACAUUUUAUUACAAUCUUCUUUUUAAGGAAAUGUCCCAAAAGCUAUGUACAUUUUCUAAAGACUUGUAACUAAGCUUCUUUUUAUUUAGUUUGAAGAGCUUUAAAAGUGAAUUUUCUUUCUUCAGUUGUCGAAAGUCUCUUAAGCAAUCUAAGGAUAUUAAUUCUAUCACAUCGGAGUCCAACGCAAAAUUCUUGCUUCUACCUUCUCAUUUAACUUGUUGCUUUGAAGACAAAAAAUAAGAAGGAUUUGUAGUAACAACAAUAGAAAUAAUGAAACAAAGAAGAAGAAACGGAAGGAAGACGACGAUGAUGAUUAUAAGAGAAGGGAGGGAAUAAACAAAAUUGAAAUCUGAAUAUGAAAAGCGAGUAUGUACAUUUCAUUUUUUAAAUAUUUAAUAUUACCCCAAAAUAAUUAUAUUAAUCAGGCUUGUCUUUACUUAAUCCUGAUUAAAACUGAUCAAGGUCAGUUUCUUUUUGUUAUUAAGACUUGAUAGAUCCCUUUAACUUUAUGAAUAAUUAGUAGUACAAUAUGUCUUUUUAUAAAUUAAGAUUUUAAUUUUUGUAGAUUAAAUAAAUAUUGUGCAAAUAAUGUUCUGUCACUAUCUUUAUUAUUUCAAUUAUUUUAUUUAUUAACCAAAAAAAGAAGGGGAGUAUUGUUUUUUAUUAUUGGUACUAUUUUUUUAUUAUUGUUGGUACUAUUAUUUUAACCAUAUUAUAUUUCCUUAUUUCCCUCUAAAUGAAACAAAAACAAAUAUAAAGUAUAAUUGUUUGGGCCAAAUUGAGUCUUAGAGACAGACAAAUUAAAGAACAACUUUAUCUCCAUUUGAAAAACUACUUUUCUACCGUGUUCUCUCUCCCUCUCGUUCCAACCGGAGUUUUCUCUGUAAAUUUUAAGGUAAAUUCUCCUUUCCAUCUUCAGUUUUGCAGCAUAGAGUUACUUCAAUUAUUACUGAAACCAAAGUUUACAUGGAAAAAUAGAUACUCUUUUUGGUCAUUCAAUUUCUUACUCGUUCAGAAUGAAUGUUGAAGAGUGUAAUUCCGUAGUUGUUUUGGAUGUAAAGAAACAAUUUUUUUUGUUGACUGAGUGGUUUUAUCAUGUGGGGUUUCUUCUUCUUUUUUUUGGGGUCGAAUUUUGUUGAAUUCUGUGAGUAUUUUAUUAUAAUGUGGAAGUUGUAAAUGAUUCAUUUUUAAGCAAAGAAUUUGCAGAUUGAAUUGUUUUAUUAUGUGGGUUUCUGGGGAAUGACCCGGAGGUUUGUUGAAGUUUUAUUUGCAUUGUGUGAGUAUUUUGAUUAUUAUUUUGAAGUUGUAAAUGAGUUAUUUAUAAUCAUAGAUUUGUAGACUGAAUUGUUUUGUCAUGUGGGUUUGAGAAGAGUUAGAGGUCGACUCGAGAAGUAUUAGAGAGAGAGAGGUGAAUAGAUAGGAGAUGACGUAGUUUUAGCGUGCUGUGGACAUGAUCUUAGAUAGGAGGGUGUGGAGGACACGAUCAGGGUAGAAGGUUAGUAGGUAGAAGUGUGUUGUGUCCAUUUGUAUUAGUUGUAGUAUUGCUCUUGUAGUUUCAUGUCGUUCAAUUUAUGGUAUUGUUUUUUUUUAGUUUCUGUUCUGUUACUAUCUAUUGUUUUUGUUAUUAGUUGUUGUUUCUUGAUCUUUCGUUACUUCUUUUUGGGAUUGCUUUGGACUAUUUUUCCUUGAACCGAGGGUUUAUUUGAAACAACCUCUCUACCUAUGAGGUAGGGGUAAGGUUUGCAUACCUUCUAACCUCCCCAAACCCCACUUUGUGGGACUACACUGUUUAUAUUGUUGUUGUUUGAGAGUUUUUUUCCUUUUUUUGAUAGAGAAAGAUGAAUAGACUUUAGAUGUCUAUUUUAGUUGAAGUCUCUCGAAAUAGUGAGCAUUAUGUUAAAAUGUCGAAGAAUGUACUCUUAAGUAUCACUCCGAUACAUUGUUGGAUGUUUUAAGUGUUUAGCAGUUGCAAUUAAUCAUGAUUAAAAUGGAUUAAUAUCACCUUGCUUUAGUUAUUUAAGACUUGAGAGACCCAAUAUUAAAUCUCCUUACUUUAAUGAAUAAUUAGUAUUAUGUCUUUUUAAAUAAAGAUUUUAAUUUUGAAAAGUAGAUUAGGUAAAUCUUGUUCAAAUAAUGUCCUAUUACUAUCUUUAUUAUUUCAACCAUUUUUAUUUAUUAACCAAAAAAAAUGGAGUAUUGUUUUUUAUUAUUGGUAUUAUUAUUUUUAACCAUAUUAUAUUUUCUUAUUUCCCUCUAAAUAAAAUAAAAACAAAUAUAAAGUAUAAUUGUUUGGGCAUAAUUAGGUCUUAGAGACAGAAAAAUUAGGGCACAGUUUUAUCUCCGUCUGGAGAACUGUUCUGUUAUUCCGCUCUCUCUCGUUCCAACCGGAGUUUUUUCUGUGACUUUUAAGGUAAAUUCUCUCCAUUUUCAGUUUCGCGGCAUAAAGUUACUUCUAAAAACGCUGAAACUAGAGUUUACAUGGAAAAAAUUGAUUAACUCUUUGGCCAUUCAGUUUCUUACUUGUUCGGGAUGAAUGUUGAAGAGCCUAAUUCUGAAGUUGUUUUGGCUGUAAAGGAAUAUUUUUUUUGCUGAUCGAGUGGUUUUUUCAUGUGGGAUUUCUUUCUUUUAUGAAAUAAUGAACUGUUGGUCGAAUUUUGUUGAAUUCUGUGAGCAUUUUUUGUUAUGAUGUUGAAGUUGUAAAUGAAUCAUUUAUAAGCAAAUAAUUUGCAGAUUGAAUUUUUUUAUUACGUGGGUUUCUGGGUUUUUUUCUUUUUUCCUGAAAGAAUGAUGAAUGAAUCAUUUUUGGUCAUUCAGUAUCUUACUUGUUAGGAAUGAAUGUUGAAGAGUGUAAUUCCGAAGAUGUUUUGGCUGUAAAGAAAUAGUUAUUUUUGUUGACUGAGUGGUUUUAUCAUGUGGGGUUUCCUUUUUUUUUUCUUUAAGGAAAGAUGAAUGAACUGUUGUAAAAGUUGGUUGGAUUUUAUUGAAUUCUGUGAGCAUUUUAUUAUAAUGUGGUUGUUGUAAAUGAAUAAUUUUUAAGCAAAGAAUUUGCAGAUUGGAUUGUUUUAUCAUGUGGGUUUCUGGGGGGUGAAUGACCCGGAGGUCAGUUGGAGUUCUUAUUGAAUUCUGUGAGCAUGUUAUUAUUAUGUUGAAAUUGUAAAUGAAUUAUUUAUAACAUAUAAUUUGUAGAGUGAAUUGUUUAAUCAUAUGGGUUUGAGGAGAGGUAGAGGUAGAUUGGAUAAGUAUUAGAGAGAGAGAGGUGAUUAGAUAGGAGAUGACGUAGAUUUAGCUUUCUGAGGACAUGAACUUAGAUAGGAGGGUGUGGAGGACGCAGUUAGGGUAGAAGGUUAGUAGGUACUAGGUAGAAGUGUGUGCUGUCUGUUUGUAUUAGUAGUUGUAGUAUUGCUCUUGUAGUUUCAUGUUCUUCGAUUUCUGUUACUAUCUUUUGUUCCUUAUACUUCUAUUAUGGUAUUGUUGUUUUGUAGUGUCUGUUCUGUUACUAUCAUUGUUUUUGUUAUUAUUUGUUGUUUCUUGCACUUCCGUUACUUCUUUUUGGGAGUGCUUUGGACUGUUUUCCUUGAGCCGAAGGUUUAUUCGAAACAACCUCUCUACCUAUGAAGUAGGGAUAAGGGUUUGUGUACCCUCUACCCUCCCCAAACCCCACUUUUUGGGACUACAUUGGUUAUAUUGUUGUUGUUUGAGGGUUUUUUACUUCUUUUUUUUAUAGAGAAAGAUGAAUAGACUUUAGCUUUCUAUAUUAGUUGAAGUCUCUCGAAAUAGUGAGCAUUAUGUUAAAAUGUUGAAGAAUGUACUCUAAGUAUCACUCUGACACACUGUUGGAUAUUUAAGAGUUUAGCAGUUGCAAUUAGCAAAUAGCAAGAUUGAAAGGAGCAGAGAUAUUAGAAAUGAAAAGGGAAACUGAAGAAGAAGAAGGGAAAAUUUCAAAUUAAAAGGAGAAAAGUUGUUCAUGAAAGAGAGACUUUACCCUUACACUUCUGCAAUGAAUCAAGAGGUGUGUAAAACUCAAACUACUAAACCAAAUGAUGAGGGUGCUAGUGAAAGACAAUGGAUAAAAGUAGACUAAAGUUUAAAUGUAAAACUUUAAUUUAAAAGAUUAAUGAAUCUGAAGUUCAGUUUGUAAGUCAUGAACAACUCUGGUGCCACACGUAGUAAGAAUUUUGUCAUUGCCUUACACAAGCAGGUUUGGAUUUUGGAUGGGGGUAGAGUGGUAGACUCUUUUAUAUCUUUAGAAAUCUCAAUAUUUGCUAUGAGAGAAUGCAUAAUUAGGAGGAUAAGUGUAGAAUGCUGGUCCUCAAAUUGUGUUAAAUGACCUUUGUCUUGUAAGUAAGUUUCUACCUUUCUUACAUAUGCAAUAGGAUUCAUCUUGGAAUGACUACUUGAUAUGGACAGAGAAAACCUAAAACAAAGUACUAAAAACUUUUUUCUGCAAUUUUCUCUUUGUUUUAGUUGGCACGGAUGAGUUCUGUAGAUUUUUCAGUUUCCUGCUCUUUGGAAUGCCAUGUUCCCAGUUGCCACAAUAGCAUCCAUAUGAUAAUCAAACUCUAUUUCUUUGAAGGUUGAUGAUCUGUAUUAGGUUUGGAUUUGAUUUGUGAUUAAUUGCUUAUUGGAAACAAUCUCUCUACCCCAGAAAGAUAGGGUAAGGUCCGGGUACAUCCUGCCCUCCCCAGAUCCCACUUGUGGGAUUACACUGGGUAUAUUGUUGUGGCAUUUAUAAAUGAUUUCAUCUGAGAAUUUUCUUCUAGUGUUCCAUAUUUCUAGCUUUUCAAGGAGUUCUGUGCUUCCCUAUAUACUAAAUGAUGAUCUUCAUACAGUACGACAGAGAGCCAAGCCUGCUCCUUGCAGUCUCUUUAUUUGUUGUUAUCGUGUUUAGAACACGUAUGUUCUAUGCUCCUCAACCUAACAUAUACAGCCUGAUUGGUCGACCUAAUAUACAACCUAAUAUGAUUAUUUACUGUAGUGAGGUUUUAAUUUCUUAAGUUUUCCUCAUUUUACCUUCUUAUAUAUAUUAUUUUUCUUCUUUGAGGUUUUGUACUCUUAAACCUAAUUUUACUGUCAUUCUGUUACCUUUUUUUACAGCAGGAGGUUGUAAGCAGAUAUGCCGUCAGAUACUGCAAGAGAAAAUGCAUCUAUAGCUAAUUCCAUAGUGACUGACUGCAAAAAUGAAAGAAGGAAUUUUGAUGGACCAGGUAACCCUGAUACGAAAUCUAUUCAUAAUUCAGUUAUCUGUGUGGGUUUUGUUUUGUUUUGUUUUGUAUAUUUUUUUUUUUGAGUAGUUGCUUCUGUUGAGAUUUGUUACAAGGUUUCCUUGAAUGUGUCUGCAUGACAAAGACAAGGAUGUGGUCAUUUACACUGGCCCACAAUUUAAUAUUGGUGCAAAAGUUGUAUGCUUCAAGUAUCUUUUGGUUGGCUUUUCUAUUCAACUGAUGAGCAAUAAGUAUUCUUUAACGUGUUAGGGAUGGCCAAACAAUUAGAGUCUUUUCUACUUUGACUGGAGCUUCACUUGAGAAAUAGAAAGAGCAUGCUGAAUUUGAUAGAAAGGAGGUCCACUAGUUAGUAAUUUGUGAUGCCAUGAAGAGCUCUAGUUACUCACAUGGUUUCUUGAGGCUGUAAGCUGGCUUGAUAUUAUUAGGUCUUUCCACUAAACCACGCAAAACUGAGCCUGUUUGAUUGGGCUUAUAGCUUUUGAUUUAUAAGCCAAAAUCCAUAAGUUAGGAAUUCUAACUUAUGGCUUUUGGCUUUUUUUUUGCCUAUUUGGCUUAAAAAACUUAAAAACACUUUUUUAUUUUACCCAAACACUACAAAAGUGCUUUAUAACACUUGAAAUAAUCUAAUCCAAACAGGCUCUAAAUCUUUUCAUAAUUCAAUUCUGUGUGUUGUUCAUUUGUAUGAACAGUCAUGGCUGUCUUCGAGAUUGUGUAGAAGUUUCACACCCUCCAUGAAUUUGUACGCAUAAAAUGCAGAGAUGGUUUAGAUGCACAACUUUUAUUCCCGUCCAAUGAAUGUGACACUUCAAGUAUCUUUUGGUUGGAAAUGCUAUGAAGUUCAUGGAGCAAUAACACUGCAUAACUUCAUCAUUUCAACACAAUUUGUUGGAGAAACAAAGGUUAAAUCGAACGAUAAAUGUUACUUAUUGAUGAGAAUAAACGCUAUGGUUUUUUCCUUUUCUUUUUGUGUUAAAACUCUGUUGUCAGCAUCCUUUUCUGACAUUCCAUCAAGAUUUUGGCCCUUGUCUCUAAUUAGCCUAAUAGUUCUUUAUUCCACAUAAUGUCCCUCUUGAGAUGCCUUAAUUUCUUCAUAAGGACAUAAUCUGGACUUCCAGUUACUUGAUAAUGUUGCCCCCAUUAAUAAAAUUACCUUAUUUUAUAAAUAAAUUAGUGAAGAUACAAGGAGCUUCAGUGACUUGCAUAGCUUAUUGAGUAUGAACAAUCUGGCGUGGCCCUUGUCCAAAAAAAAAGUACAAUCUGGCUUGGAAUUAAUUUGUUUACAAUGAGAUAAAAAAGAUAUGCGAUUGUUGAGAAAGUUGAACCUACAAAUUUAUGUAGUACUUUACUUCUUAAGAAUUGGAAUCCAAUUUCAUGGCUUCAUAAUGAACCUGUGGUGUACAUAAAGUUUGGAAUCUUUUGAUAAAACUUUCAACCUGUUGUCUUAUUGGAUUUUAAUAUUGCGAAUCCUCAUAGAUAUCGUGUAGCAUCCUUGAUGAUCAGUGUUCAGGAGCUAACUCCGUUUUGUCUAAUUUCUUGUUAAAUUCAACAUCUCCUGACUGUAACCUUUAUGAAGUUUCACGCUACCUGAUCACAGAAAUAAAAAUUAAAAAGAAGACAUCUUGUAGCUUCGUUGUCCUUGACAUGAAAGUAGUGGUUAAAUGAUAAGUAUAUGGAUUACUAUAUACUGGUACAUCUACAUGAUUCAAAUUUAAAUAUGAACUCUUUUCUCAGAUAGUUCAAGGCUCGGAGUAAAUGAGGAUACCAAUCGUUCUAUAGCAGAGGAGCUCACAGUUUCAUCUCCGCCGUUUGGAAUUUCAAGUGCAAUUGAAAACGGUAAAACUUCCAACCUGUUGUCUUAUUGGAUUUUAGUAUUGUUUGACAAGUAGCUUGGGAAUGACAAUACGUAAUCCACUCCCUCUCUCUCUCUCUCUCUCUCUCCACUUUGGGAAUAACAGGCUUAUUGUGUUCUCAAAAAGUUCACUUAUUUUAUCUGAACUUUAGGGAAUGACUCCAUGAAGUUCUUUCAGUUUCCACUCCUUUUGGUGCAUUCUAUGUCAUUAUAGUAACUAGGAAGUGCUACAUGAGUGUAUAUGUGUUAAUUAUAAUACAUUACCUUGUGAAUUGAUUGUCCUCUAUGUUCUUAUUCAUGAAAAAUACUGCAAUCCAACUUCUUGCCAAAUUUUGCUUAUUGAAUCUUUUUUUUUUUGAAACUGGUAAGGUUGAAUUCUUCAGCAUUAAGGGUAUGCUGGCUACCUCCAAAAAGGGGUAAUUACAGAUUUCCUAUCAAAAUCUAGUAAUCUGGUCUAUAUCAUCUAUACAAAGCUGUUUAACACCAAAAAAGUAGAGAUACUAUACAAUUCCAUUUAACUUUGUGGAUGGAAUUGGAUCUAUCUUCAAAACAUCUUCCAUUUCUUUCUUUCCAGACUGAUCACCAUACACAUGAUGGUAUUAGCUUCCACCAUCUCUUUUGACUCUUACUGCCUCCCCUCCUAAUCCAGCAGCUCAACAGAUCUGAUGUAUGUUCUGGCAUUGUCCAGUUCAUGCUUGUGAUGUUGAGAAACAAGUUCCAAAAUUUGAGCAGUAAACUUACAAUGCAGGAAGAGAUGGUUAUUUGUUUCCCCAGUCAAGUUGCACAAAAAACACCUAGGGACCAGUUGUCUGCCUUUCUUUUGUAGAACUUCUUCUGUUAAGCAUGCUCUCUUUAUCACUAACCAGGAGAAACACUUUACUUUUGUAGGAAUGUCACUCUUCCAAAAGUAGUUCCAAUUAUAUUUUGGGGCCCCUGUCAUCCCCAGUGGUCCUCUUUUGUAGGCAUUGUUGACUGAGAAGACUCCAUCCUUACUAUGUUUCCACAGGAUCUUGUCUGUUGUUGUUGUAGUUAUAAUCAUUCCAGCUAGUUUUUCCAGUAGCGCUGCCACCCUCUCCACCUCCCAGUCAUUAAGUAGUCUUCUUAAAGAUAUGUCCCAUCCCUGUUCUGUCCAACAAUCACUCACUCUAGCAUCAGGGUUCUCACAGAUUUGUUUGGAAAAAGUUCUCUAAGAGAGGUUUGGUCUAUCCAGCCAUCUUUCCAAAAUUUAGUUUUGUUUCCAUUACCCCACCUUAAUAUACAUAUUUCCUUCCAUUUGUGACCAUAGGUUCCUGAUUGUCCUCCAGACCCCCACCCCAUAUGGUUCAGAGGUGGUUUUUGUACUCCAGGGAUUUAGUUCUCCAUAUUUUGCUACUAUAACCUCCUUCCAGAGAGCUGCAUUAGUACACCAGGGGUAAUUUUUUUUUUUUUUUUUUUUUUUUUGAAAUAGUUAACUUUGUAUUAUAUCACAAAACAGUACAUGGGUUGUACUGAAACCAUUAUAUACGAAUGUCUCUUUUUCCACUUGUUUCAGUCUAUAUUGAGCCUAAAACAUCAAUUACCAAUACAAUGUCAUUGGAGUAUACCUGAUUACACCAAAAACAUAACAAUAAAAUGCAGUUUAACUUGACUUUUUGGACAUAACAAUAAAAUGCAGUUUAACAUGACUUUCGUAAUUAUUACAUAGUAAAUUUGCAGAAAUAGGCUUUAUGCUCAUUCAUUUUCUUCUAAAAAAUGUUUUGAGUUGUUGGAACUUGAUGAUUGAUUUCUAUGCACAAACAGUUCGAGUUAAUUCCUAUGCUUGCUAUAUUGUUUUUGGUUGUGAAUAAUGCUUAUUUGUCUUUACUGUAAGUUUGUUUCUAUUUUCUGGGCUGUUUUAUAUGCGAAUCAUCAUAGAUAUCGUGUAGCAUCCUUGAUUAUCAGUGUUCAGGAGCUAACUCCGUUUUGUCUAAUUUCUUGUUAAAUUCAACAUCUCCUGACUGUAACCUUUAUGAAGUUUCACGCUACCUGAUCACAGAAAUAAAAAUUAAAAAGAAGAUAUCUUGUAGCUUCGUUAUCCUUGACAUGAAUGUAGUGGUUAAAUGAUAAGUAUAUGAAUUACUAAAUGCUGGUACAUCAACAUGAUUCGAAUUUAAAUAUGAACUCUUCUCUCAGAUAGUUCAUGCCUUGGAGUAAAUGAGGAUACCAAUCGUUCUAUAGCAGAGGAGCUCACAGUUUCAUCUCCGCCGAUUGGAAUUUCAAGUGUAAUUGAAAAGGGUAAACUCUAUAGCAUAAGAUAUUUUGUAAUCAAGAGUUUGAACCAUGAAAAUAUCCAAUUAUCAGUAAGCAGAGGGAUUUGGGCUACUCAAGCCAUGAAUGAGGCCAUUUUGGAUGAAGCAUUUCAUGUAAGUCGUUUUUCCUUUUAUAUCCCCAUGAGUAUUAUAAUAUAAUGACCAUCUGUAAUAUAUAUAUAUAUAUAUCUUACAAUACAACAAAUGUUUGUGUUUAUUUUGCGGGCAGAAUUCCAGCAAGGUUAUACUAAUAUUCAGUGUCAACAUGAGUAAGUAUUUCCAAGGGUACGCCCAAAUGAUUUCUUCUGUUGGUUUGAGAAGAGACCAAGUUUGGAGUCAAGGAAAUGGUGGUUGUAAUCCUUGGGGUCGAAGCUUUAAAGUGAAUUGGCUGCGAUUGUAUGAUCUGCCUUUCCAAAGAACUCUUCACCUUCAGAAUCCAUGGAAUCAAUACAAACCAGUCAAAAUUAGUAGAGAUUGUCAGGCAUGGGUUAUAUUCUUGUCUUAGUACUAUUCACUUAUUUUUUCAAUGUACUCUUGUUAGUAAAGAGGCUUUUAUGACCCUGGUACAUGUAUUGCUGUCAGGAGUUACCUCCAGAUAUUGGUGAAGCUUUAUGUGAGCUCCUUGAUGGACAGGAUGCUUUGGAUGUUGAUUUGAAAAUGUAUAGCCCUUUCCUCGAAAACUUAAAUAGUGUGUUCCUGUUCCAUUAUUUGGAAACAUACAGCCUUUUCUCAAAAUUGAAUUAGUGCUAGAGUUGUGGAAUAAUUGGUCCAAAUGAUUUUUCUCUUUAUAAUUGUUAUUGGCUCAUCCAGGGAUAUCUUUGCAAGGAAUAAUCUCUCUUUUAAAAGGCCAUAUGUAGAGCCUUCACUGCAUCUUGGAGAUCAAGACUGUAAUGCAUCUCUGAUACCUAAUGGGACCAUGUUUUAUCCCUCUUUACUCUACCAACAUCAAAUUGAUGCUAGUAGACUUCACGUAGCACCUCAGAGAAUAAAAUGGUGUAUUUUCUGCUGAGGAGUCAGCCAUUGCAUCAGGGGAAUCAAAGUCGAGACAGUCUAGGCAUUCGCAGAGGAAUAGAAGCCUUGCUAAUCUUCAUGUAGAUACUUACAUGGGUCCUCAAAUUAACAUGUGGGGCUUGCCGGCAGAAAGGAGCCCACUUGCUCGUAAUUUGACUGAAGAUGACAUUCUUGAAAUGGUUUGUGUUUCCUGUCUUACCAUUAUUUAUUUAGAAGUUCUCGUCUUACCCUUAAUUUUUAAUUAUU